Molecule: long non-coding RNA, 1554 nt
Organism: Physella acuta
Lineage: Eukaryota; Metazoa; Mollusca; Gastropoda; Physidae
Source: RefSeq, a predicted model, not a curated record
AAUUAGGCCUAGUUAGUAGUUAGCCUACUAAUUACUAGGCCUAUAGUAAUUAGAAUUAGAUUCUACUUUAGUGUACUAACUUAGUACUAAGUACUUGGCCUAAAAUUAAUAUUAAUUAUUAAUGAUACGUCAUACACUCAUACUUUAAGUUUAAUUAAGUCUAAAGUUUAAGUUAUAAACAGUAGAUCUAGAUACAAUAAUAAAAAUAUAUACCCUAUUAUAACAAAUCGUCAAAUAGUAUUAUUAUUUACUAGAUCUAGAUUCUAGGGCCUAUGUAUUUUAUUUAGAUCUAGAUCUCAGCCUUAUUUUAGUUAGACCUAGAUCUAUAAUAAUAAUAGUAUUAAGUAUAGGCCUGUUACUGUAUAUUAUAUAGACUAUAGCGUAUUUUCUUUUAUAGUGAACUAGGCCUAUAUGAUUAAUAUGAAUACUUUUAUUAAUAUAAUAGUAAUAGGUGUUAGUAUUAGUUUAGUUAGCUAGCUAGUAUUUAAGCUAUAUUUAGUAAUAAUAGAAUAAUUAGCUAGAUUUAUGUAAAACAGAAACCUUUAGACUUUACUUUUUAAUUUAGGCCCAUAAAUUGUUUUCUAGACUUUCUUUUGCUUAGAAAGUUAAGAACUGAUUAAAUUAGUAAUUAGGCCCUAUGUAUUAAUCAUAUUAUAGUUAAUUAUAGGCCCCUAAUUUAAAUUAGGCCUAUUUAGUUAUAAAGACUUUGCCUUUAUUCAUUUUAAUAAAUAGGCCCCUAUUUUAAAUCAAUGCCAUAUUUUUAAAAAAAAAAUCCUUUUCCUAGUACUUUUUCUUUUAGUACUAGAUCUAGAUGUACAUAAACUAGAUAUUACACGGUGACAGUAGGCUAGACCUAAUAACCGUAAUUACUAAUUAGUCGUCUGCUUAGUAGUUAGUCCUCGUAGAGAUAGUUAUCGUUAUAUAUAUAUAGACAAGUUAUAGUGUACCAGUAUUACUAGAUAAAAUUCUAUAUCUAGUAAUAGCUCUAGAAAUUCCAAAUUUGAUUUAAGCCCAAAGUGCGCCUAAAAAUUGGAUUAAUCUAAUAAUUACUAACAUAAGGGCCUAAUUAGUUUAAUUGUAAUAAGCUUUGUUUGACUUUGUGUUACUGUCAUUGAGCUUUUAGUUUAACAUUGAAAAUUUAAUUCAAAGAUUUUUAAAAAAAAAUCAGCAACUUCAAUCAAUCUAUAUAGCUAGAUUCUAGAUAUUCAUACUGUUGUACAAGGCUUACUUAGUAGAAAUUAAAUAUGCUAUAAUUACAGAAUUCUGACUAUAUCACUCAGAAUAAACAGAUAUGACUAAAUAAGCCUAAUGUAUAUUACAUUGUUUUAGAAGAAUUACUUUUGCUUUACAACCAAUAAAACAGUUGUGUGGUUUACACUUAAAGUCAGUAUCUCAAGCCAGUUACCCUUAAUGAUAAUGUACUCAAGCCCUCAAACCACUUCUCUGGUUUAUCAAUUGUGUGCUCUACUGCUUGACCAAUGAAUCCCAAUUUAGUAUUUGUAGGUCAUUGUAAAAAUAUAAAUUGAUAUAUCCUAAAUAAAUCUUUUAUCAAGU